Long non-coding RNA from Anopheles coluzzii, 759 nucleotides. RefSeq lists it as uncharacterized. The transcript has 4 exons. The record is from RefSeq and is a predicted model, not a curated record. NCBI's taxonomy places the organism in Eukaryota, Metazoa, Arthropoda, Insecta, Diptera, Culicidae.
UCGUCUGAGACGGACUGUUAUGGAGGUACAAAAUCUUCAGUGAUGCGUUCACGCAUCUACGAGCCGGUAAUUGGCGGUAUCCAGAUCAUCGUCGUACUGUUAGCUUACCUAAGCUACCGAAAUUAGCGACAGUGUAAAAUCUGUGCUGUGAGACCUACAGUUGCCUCUCACAACCGUCCGGAAGUCGCAGUGAUUUGGUAACAUCAAGUGCAUCACCACCGCACGAAGCGCAGCAUAUUGACGCAAGCCCAAGCGGACAGCAACCACCUGCAGCAAACGUACGCUGAACGAAUGGUCGUGGUAGACGCGUUAGGAUUGCAAGGCGAUACUUGCGCUCUGAAACAGAUGUUUGGGCCACAGAGGUGACGUUCCGAGAUUGUAAAAACAUGUCGGGCCCACAGUUUCAGAUAAGCCGUUCUCAUCAAUGCCAUACCAUGUACGGUCGGCUAGUUACACUUCAUCACGAAGGACAAUCACAUCUGGGUCACGGAAUGCUGCCAAAACGAUGAAGCUGGUUUAGUCCUCGAUGACGACGCAACUCCUGCACGUUCGUCGUCAUACUAUCAUUUCAACUGGAGGCAUGUUUGUUUAGGCGGCUACAACAAAUUGUUUGAACAUGUUCAAAACAACAUGGCUUCUCACAAUUACUGGUGAAUGCUGGAAAUCUCCGUGAUAGCCAUUUUCGUGCGCUGAAUUAGGUUUGUAUGAAAAAUAGUGUAUUUUUAGAAUAUUUAAUUAUCGAUAAAAUAACGGUCGAUU